AUCCAGCUGACGUGUCCCAAACAGGACGAAACGCGCAUCCUGGAU
RNAcentral lists this non-coding RNA (45 nucleotides) under Schistosoma mattheei. The record is from RNAcentral. Lineage: Eukaryota; Metazoa; Platyhelminthes; Trematoda; Strigeidida; Schistosomatidae.